UACGGGGGGAGCAAUCGUUGUUCGGAUUUACUGGGCGUAAAGGGCGCGUAGGCGGCGCAACAAGUCACUUGUGAAAUCUCCGGGCUUAACCCGGAGCGGCCAAGUGAUACUGUCGUGCUAGAGUGCGGAAGGGGCUACUGGAAUUCUCGGUGUAGCGGUGAAAUGCGUAGAUAUCGAGAGGAACACCUGCGGCGAAGGCGGUGGUCUGGGCCAAAACUGACGCUGAGGAGCGAAAGCCAGGGGAGCAAACGGG
RNAcentral lists this ribosomal RNA (253 nucleotides) under uncultured bacterium. RNAcentral's name for it is "partial 16S ribosomal RNA". It matches the Rfam family "Bacterial small subunit ribosomal RNA", at positions 524 to 776 of the family's 1533-position model. The record is from RNAcentral.